Molecule: ribosomal RNA, 253 nt
Filed under: uncultured bacterium
Lineage: Bacteria
Description: partial 16S ribosomal RNA
Rfam family: Bacterial small subunit ribosomal RNA
Source: RNAcentral
UACGGGGGGGGCAAGCGUUGUUCGGAAUUACUGGGCGUAAAGGGCUCGUAGGUGGCCAACUAAGUCGGAUGUGAAAUCCCCAGGCUUAACCUGGGAACUGCAUCCGAUACUGGAUGGCUUGAAUCCGGGAGAGGGAUGCAGAAUUCCAGGUGUAGCGGUGAAAUGCGUAGAUAUCUGGAGGAAUACCGGUGGCGAAGGCGGCAUCCUGGACCGGCAUUGACGCUGAGGAGCGAAAGCUAGGGGAGCAAACGGG